UACGAAGGGUGCAAGCGUUAUUCGGAAUCACUGGGCGUAAAGGGUGCGUAGACGGUAUGUUAAGUUUGUUGUUAAAGGCUCCGGCCUAACUGGAGUAUUGCGAUGAAAACUGGCGUGCUAGAGGGUGAGAGAGAGAAGUGGAAUUCCCGGAGUAGCGGUAAAAUGCGUGGAUCUCGGGAGGAACACCAAUGGCGAAGGCAGCUUCUUGGCUCAUUCCUGACGUUGAGGCACGAAAGCGUGGGGAGCAAACAGG
This 253-nucleotide ribosomal RNA is filed under the name uncultured bacterium. RNAcentral describes it as "partial 16S ribosomal RNA". It matches the Rfam family "Bacterial small subunit ribosomal RNA", at positions 524 to 776 of the family's 1533-position model. The record is from RNAcentral.